This 32159-nucleotide long non-coding RNA is filed under the name Ananas comosus (pineapple). Its description in RNAcentral is "long non-coding RNA (ACOM_LNC001655)". Lineage: Eukaryota; Viridiplantae; Streptophyta; Magnoliopsida; Poales; Bromeliaceae. The record is from RNAcentral.
CGUUGACAGACGUUCCUGUCCGCCGGAUCUUGCCUCCCGCCGCGCUUCUCCGACUCUCUUCCCUAGACUCUUCUUUUUCCUCCCUCUUCACCUUAACACUUCUGCUUUCGUAUUUUUUUUGUACUUUUUUUCUUUGUUCGCUUUUCCGUUUUCUUCGGAACCCCCUGCUGCUUCAAUAAUGUAUGCCUAGUUCAAUUUGCUUAACGAAUGAAGUGGGUAGCUUGCUAUAUUUUUUUCAAAAAAAAUUAUACUUCACUAUUCUAGCUAGUAAAAAAAUUAUUUUAUUCCAUUUUUUUUCUUAUUUUAGUUUAAAUUAAGUUAGAACUUUUACAUUCAUUCUACUUCGAUUAGUUUUAUAAUGUAUAUUUUUAGAGAGUUUUUUUAUGGGACGAAUCUAAAAAUCGCACUUAUCCCUUUUUUUAAUUUUUAAAAAAGAAUUGUAUCACUUUGCAAGAAACAUCAUUUUUGCCUUAUUGCAUGGCACAUGCACUUUUCAAUUUAAAUAUGGUGGCCGAUUCAAAGGACUCUCUACCACUAAAUUUGCCUUGUUUUAUUAAGUAACGUUCACUUCUAUAAUUUGUACCCAAAGACAUUCCAAAUUCAAAUCCUAAUUGAUUUAUAUUUUUAACUAAAUUUAUUUUUUAAAAAAAAUAAACGAAGUGGGGGUAGCAUGCUAGCUUAAUUUCUCUCUAAAAAAAAAAAAAACAUUCACUUCUAUAAUUUGUACAAAUAGUUUUUUUCUGCACUAGAAUCCAAAACAAAAUGGAAUUUUACUUUGUGAUUUAGAAUUUCAUUUUCGUAAAAUUGUACAGAACUUAUCUGAACUAUGAAUUAUUUUGAGUCGAAAAAAUAAUCUUUUAAAAUUUUGAUUUUACUAUCCAACUUUUAAAUUUGCUUGAGUUGAGUCAGUCAACGACACUUUGACUUUGACUUUUGAAUACUUCAUUUAUUUUUAUAAAUUUAGUUAGUAUAUUAAAGUAAGCAAUUAGCUUAAAUGUUGAAGUUAAAGUGUCGUUGACUGAUUUAAAUCAAAUAAAUUAAAAACUUGGAUAGUAAAAUUAAAAUUUUGAAAAGUUGGAUAGUCGACUCAAAAUAGUCUAUAGUUCAUAUAAGUUCUGUACAGUACUUUUACCUUUCAUUUUUCUACUUUGGCCUAGUUUGAUGAUUUGGUGGUUAAAACCACCAAUUUAGUAUUUUAAAAUGUCUAAAAAUUUUAACACACUUCCGGUCUUUUCUUUUGCGGGAAUACGUAAUUGAAUGUGCCUAUCUACUAGUUCUCUAGUAGCGAUUGCCACCAUAAUUUUAUAGUAUAAAGAAAAAAGAUGUGAAUUGCUUUAAAAUUUUUGAAACAUUCAAACUACAAAAUAGAUUCUUUUAAUCACCACAUUACCAAACUACCAAACUUUAAUUAGAUUGCUUUAAAAUCUACUAUUUGUGGAAAAUGCAAGUUAUCUAAUUUAAUUGCAGUGCCAAAGAUUAAUAUAUUUACUAGUGCACCUCCUUAAAUUGGUUAAGCUAUAAUUGGCGGAGUUGAACUUAUAUGAAGAACGCACUAACAAAUUAAUCUGUAAAAAAUUUCGUGCUGACAGUUUAUCUUGACUGAGCAUCUUAGGUUUUUACAGUGGAAUUAAUGAGAGAUUGUAUUUAAAUUAAAGCGAGAUACAUGAUCAAAAUGAGCCUUUAUAGAAUAGUUUGUUAAUGUGUCUUUUACUUUAGCUGCGCUAUUUCAUAAACUCUUCGACAAAGACAAUAAGCUCCACACCCUAUCCUUAAUUUGUUAUCUACUACUGUGAAUGGCUUCGUAAUUUUCUCUUUUUAUGUGUCCUUAUCUCACUACAACAGUAUUAGAUUAAUGGGAUAAUUUCAUCAAUACCCUUCUAAGAGAUAGGAAUUUCAUAAAUGCCCCUAUAAAUUACAAAAUAUCAGCAAUACCCCUCUAUAAAACAAAAAUAUUCACAAAUACCCUUAAGAUUAACAUUCCGUUAAAAAGUCAUCUAAUAUUCUGUAAAUACCCAUUUUACCCUUAUUAAUUACUAAUUUAACUAAGUGUAAUAAUUUAAGAUUAAUUACAUGAUCAAGAUCAAUUCUUAACCUUUCAAUCACAUAAUAAUUCAACAUUCUUUUUAAAAUUUUACAAUUAAAUAUCUAUAGUCUAUUAAGUGUAAUAAUUAAAUCUUGUUAUAAUUUUUCGCAUGUAAAUUAUAUAUAGUUGUAAUGCAAUAUUCCAUUGUAAUAUUCAAUAUUAAUUUCAAGAUUUAAUUUUUUUGAAUUUUAUUUAAAUAACUCACAUAAGUCAUACAAAAAAUGUUUUGAUAUAAAUUUUUUUUGAUAUUAGUAUUUUUCAUAUGACCCAAUCAAGCAACAGUUUUUUAAUUGCACAUUUAUUGUCAACAAAAAAAUAACAUUGUAUGAAGACCCGCUCACCCAUUAGUCCACUUUGGCAUGGCCCUAGCUUUGAAUAAUAUAUAUAUAUUAUUAAUUGAGCUCCUAUAUUUUUAAAAGUAUCAAGUUAUUAGUGGUUGUAGAUUUGUGUCCAUUGGAUUAAGAGAUGUGCGGUUAGAUGAUGUUUCCACAUAUUUUAUCUACCAAUAAUUAGUACUAAAAAUAUUAUUUUUAAAAUUUGAAGGGUAUUUAUGAAAUUAUUUCUUUAUUAGUUGCUGUCAAAAGAACACCCCAACCGAGGGUAAAUUAGUCAUUUUAUAACCUAAUCUUAACGUCCGUUAGAAAAAAGGGUAUUUGUGAUAAUUUUCUACAUUUGAAGGGGUAUAUAUGAUAUUUUCAAUUUUAUAGGGGUAUUUACGAUAUUUAGAUAUUUAAGAGGGGUAGUGGUGAAAUUGCCCCUAGAUUAAUCAUAGGGAUAAAUUUUUCGGACACUUUUGUGUAAAUGUCUUAUUUAUGCCAAAUUUUUUUAAAAAACUCUACUAAGUUCUAAAUAUAAAGCCCAAUUCAACCAAAAAUAAAAAAAUUUCUCUACUCAACUAACCCCACCCAGCCCACUCAGUUCAAUUACAAAUAGAAAAGAAAAAAAAACUUUGAUCACCAUCUCCCCCUUUUCUUCUCCGCCGCCACAGUUGACGAGUUAGGGUUCUGGCGGUUGGAGUUCAGCUGCGAGAAUCUCACAGGAACCGUAGAAGAUUACGAUCGCCACGUGUCCUUUCGCCGCAAGUCGCUAGAAGAGUGGGUGCCAAACCUCGAGGCGGCCCCGCAUAUAGCGAUUCCACAUAUAGCAAUAUUUUUAAAAAGUAUCGAUAAUUUAACCAUCAAUAUUUUUUUGACAUGUACCAAUAUUUAAAAAGUGUCGUUAUACACCGUUUUUAUUGUAGUGUCUUCGAAAAUCAUGUGGAUCUUAAAUGCUAAUUAAUUAUUCUAAAAGCACUUGGUAAUAAGAAAGGCAUAUUUAUUACAUUUAAAAGUUCAGUCACGGCGCUCACGAGCUUUAACCUGACUCGAUCCAUCUGAAUGUUAGAUCUAUUGUUGGAUCUCUUACCGUCAGGUCUAUUGUGAAUCACAGUUCCACUCAAUUUAUUACAAGUUUUUUUUAAUUUAUUAUCACGAUUCAGAAAGUUGGAUCUAUUUUUCCACAUAAUUUAACAUCUUCUAAGUUUGUAUUCUGGAUCCGCCCUUGCAGGGGCUUUCACCACCACCACUACCAACCGUGUCAUUAGGCGUCUUCCGUGGCGAUAUUAACUGGCUCGAACCAAAUUAGAGUGACUCUUAAUCAAGCUAAUUAAACCUAUUAUCAAGUUCGACCCGGUGACGCGCACACGAACACGUGACAAAUAUUAUUAUAUGCUAGAUUAAGCGUAUAAGUUUUUGCAUGAUACGCGGGUGGACUAACAUUUGUAGUUGUACUAAUAUAAAAAUUAAGGUGUUAAUACCUGGCACGAUUUUUGACGUGAUCAUGAGCAUAAUUUUUGCGCUAAUUACCAAUUUUAUGCGUCUGCAUGGUUUUGACUUUUUUUUUCUUUUUUUUUUUUUUUUGGCUGAGGGGAGAAGCAGAAGCACUUGCUCUAACAAGCGAUCAAUCUUGGGAUUCGCGACAUACCUCUCAGCAUGCAUGAGCAUUUAUUAAGAAGCAGCGUUUUGUACAGGAUCCAAGACUAAAAAAAAAAAAAAAAUUAAAAGUGCAUGAUCCAAGGAAUUAUAGAAUAUAAAUUUGUGACCCCGCAUUUUUCAUAAUCAUUCAUUUUAAAAUUAUUCUAGCUCUAACAAGUUUAGUUUUUCUAAUAUUUUGUGUCUAAUCACUGUUUAAAAUAUUAUAGUUGUGUUAAAAGAUUUAGUCUUAUUAUAAAUCUCAUAUAUUGAGAGUGUCACAUUUCUCCUCCUUUUAAACCCUAAAAAGUUUCCGUCAAGCUCAAACAUAUUCACAAGUAUCAGGCAAUGUUGGACUCGUCUCGUUAGCCAUUAGCCCACCUUGUGGGAAGUUGCGUUUCACCCAUAUAAUCAGUCGGGGAGCAACACUCCACUCACUAUAUAAUUCUACCUCAGCCAAGUAUCAUCUCACUAGUGAUUGACUCUGAUACUAUGUGUAAUGUCCUACUUUCCAGUGGGUCAUCCAUUCUAGAAUAAUUCAGUUCUAACGCGAUUAACUCUCUUAACUUCUUUUGGUUCUAAUCAUCAUCUAAAAUACUAUGGUCGAGUUAAAAAUUUAGCACGGUUAUAUCUCAAAUGUAAGAUUAAAGAUGUCACAUAAUUAUUAGUUGUAACUAUGAUUGCCACAGAUAUUUGGUCAUAAACCUUAAUUACUAAUAUAUAUGGCACAAAUCAAUGUAGAUUUUAUGUUAAAAUCCUUCAUAUGGUUUAAACCAAAACUCAAAUUUAUAGCUACCAUUAGAAGUAAAUGUCGUUAUUGUGGCGAAAUAAUCUUGUUUAACCUCUUAUCAAUGCGACAUUUGUUAAAUUAAAAAGUUUAGAAAUGCUAAUGUGAAGAGAAGUUAAAAAUUGAUUACUUAAUAUUUCAUUUCACAACACUUCAGAAACGCUUAUGUAGAAAACUCCAAUCAAUCUAAACUGGUCAUAAUUAAUCGUUUUUCUACUAAAUAAAGGUCAAGUAUUAAUUAUUUUUUAUAUUACUUCUUUUGCGCGUGCACAUUGAUCAUUUGAGUUGGUACGCUCUAAUUAAGCGAAAAUAAAUGCACAAAUGGAAACUUCUUAUAGCAACAACGAACUCCUUGAAGCUUUGUAAUUAAUUAAACUUAUUCAAAGGGUCAAAGGGGUGAUCACCAAAACUAUUUUAACCUAUAUAUACAUAUAUAUAUAUAUAUAGUUAGGUGGAGUUCAAAUAUUUUAGCAUUAUAUUACCUCGAUAUUAGGGUAAGAUUGUUCCUGGUGCUUAAGGCAACAUCAUUUCAUGCAUGCAUGUGACAAUAUAAGUGCUUAAUUAAUUAACGUUUUACUAUAUAUAUAUAUAUAUAUAUAUAUAUAUAUGGGUCACAUAAUAUUAAUUUAAUUGCAUGAUGUAUAUAGAAUAAAUUAACUAGGGCCUGUGGAUUUUUUACUAAGCACUUGUGGAUUGUUUAGGGAAACAUUUUGAUGCGUUCAUAUUGAUCAUUAAACUUUAAUUUGUAUUAAUCAAACCAAUCAACUUUAAUUAAUUUCUGUUUCAAUAAGGGUCACUUUGUUUAAGAAGUAAUAGCUAUUUUGUUUAUUACAUUUCAUGCAUUCAAGGAAUUUAUGCAAGGAUUAAUAAUUGCUUUUGACUACAAUAUAAAAGUGCUUAAUGUAAUAGCAAACUAUGGGUGUCAUGCAUGGAAUAUUUAAUUAAUGUUUAACUAUGAAUUAGAAGUGUUUGACUUGCGACUUCUAGGUUGUUUAGGGAACAUAAUUAAUUAAUGUUAAUAUUUGCCAUUAUUGAAGAGAAUUUUGGUGUGAUUUCCAAUGCAAAUCAAGUGAAAUAAAAAGGGUAAAAUACAGAAAACCUCCGGUAAAUACCUGCUUUUUCAUUUCUCCCCUUGAUUUUCAAAAAUUUACAGUUUAGCCUCUCAAAAUUUCAAGUUGAUACAUUUAGCCUUCCCUCCGUCAAGGUUCCAUCAAUAUUCUGUCUUUUUUAUAAUUUAUACUGAAAAUGUCUUUGAAAAUGACAGAAAUAUAUCAACAUUUUUUUUUUUAUUAAACUCAUUUCACCCUCUUCAUUAGCGCCAUAACUUCUGAAAAUAUUUUUUAAAUUUUAAAGAGAUAAAAUAUAGAUUUUUGAAAGUCACAAAAAAAGAAAUUCUGUAUUUUAGCCAAAAUAAAAUAUACCUUGUAACAUGCUAAGAUGAAUAAAUUGGGUUUUUAUUGGUGUAAAUGGCAACCUUGGGCAUUUCAUUUGUUGGGUCACAACACUAAGAGAAUAUAAAAAAAAGGCCCAAUUUGCCUAAUUGCCUAAACAAUUGUAUAGCGUGCUAGGUCGAUUAUUUUGUCUGGUUUCUGAAACAACUUCUUUUAAAUUGUUUAGAGAAAUAGAAAUACAAUAUUUCACUUUAAUAUUUCUUGGUUGUUAAAAAUGGAAAAAAAAAAAAAACUAAACUAUUCUUGAGAAGUUUCUGGGAAAUUGAGGCACAUUUAUUUGUUUUAAUUUAGUUCUAUGGGCUUGGGCCCAUCCUUUAUUUUGCUAUUGGGCCUAUGGUUCACUUAUAACUAAUGCAUGCAAGUACCAAGCUAUUGGUGCUAUUAGAUUUUCGACCAUGAAAAAAUAUACGGUUAGAAUGUUAUUGGUUUAAUAGUAUAAUAUAACGGAUGAAAAUAGUCUAGUGGUUAAAUCUAACGGCGGAAAACUUAAUAGCACAAAAUGCUUGGUGCUAUCGAUAGUAUCCCAGCCAGAAUCUCUCUCUCUCUCUCUAUCUAUCUAUCUAUAUAUAUAUAUAGUUGGACUGGGCUACUAUUAGUAGCAAAAUUUCAUUGUUGCUACCAGUUUUUUAGCCUUUGGAUCAACUCUUUUCAUUAUUUCUAACCAUUGGAUUAAAUACUAUAACCCAAUGGGGACCACUCAACCCUAGGAGGACUACUCAACUCUAACCAACUAAUAUUAUUCUGACCUUACAAUAUUUAAUCUAAGGGUUAAAAACUUGAUAGCAAAAAGAGCGAUUUACUAUUAAUAGUAUUCCAGCCUAAUUCUAUAUAUAUUAUGCUGAUACAAACAAACAUCUAAAUAUGUACCUUAUCCGGAUCGAAUGAACUAAAAAAGUGGAGGUUGCACUUAUUUCAGGUCUAUCUCCUAACUCUGCCAAUUCCGAGCACGAGAGAGAAAUAGAGAGGGACACUAGUGAGUUGUUAGGCUUAGCCGCUUUCGUAAUAUAGCGCGUAGAUCUAACUAGAAAUUUGAAAUUUGAGUUUGAUCCGACAACAAAUACUAAGAGUGACCUAUGUGACCGUCUCGAAAGGCAUUUGACAAUUAUGCCCUCUGCAGGUAGUGAUGUAAAACGGGUCGGGCGGCCCCCCAACACGGAAAAAUUCUAGAAUGCAACGGGUAUAUUGGUGACGUGGCGUAACAAACCAAUCAAAAAUUUUCUUUUAAAGAUAUAUGUCCCAUCAUGAUUAUAAAAAGUUUUUUUUUUUUUUUUUUUGUUUGAAAAGAAGAAAGGUGAUUGGCUUGUUAUUGAUGAUGUGGUGUAAGUGUGAUAGUGUAAAAUUCCUCCCCAACAUGAUUAUGUACAACUUCUGUCGGCCCAGCACGGCGUGACCCGAAAUGGGCCCCGUCGUGCUGGGCCGAGGGUUUGGCCCAUGGCUCGGCACGGCAUGGCCCAUAUGUGGCCCAUGCCGCUGGGCCAGCAAGGCCCAACUCCAAGGCCUGGACCUCUGGGCAAUAAUUUUUUUAAAAUAUAAUUUUUCAAAUUUAAAACUUUUAUUCAAUUUUUUUAAUUCUAAAAUUUUGUUUAACUAUAUUUUUCAAUUUAUUUUUUAAAUUCUAUCCUAAUAAUUUUUAAAAUUUUAUAAAUUUUUAAAAAAAUUUAUUCAAAUAAUUUCUAUGCUUUAAAAUUUUCUCCAAAUAAUUUUUAACUCCUAAAUUUUUCAAAAAAUUAAUUUUUUUUAACCAUAGUGCUCCUCUAAUAGUUGAAAACAUCUAAAAGUAUUUUAUUUUUAAAAUUUUUAAAUAUAAAAAUUUUAAAAUGCAAAAAAAAGAAAAAAUACUAGGCCAAACACAGCCCGACCCGGCACGGCCCGUGCCAUUUGAGAAUGGUUCUUGCUGGGUCAGAGGUCCGAAAAGUUCAGCCAGCCCCGGGCUGUUUUGCCCCCCAAUAUGUUGGUCGUGCCGGACCGACACGACCCACAUUACAUCCCUCUAUAGUUGGAUAUUUGUUUUUUCCUAUUAUUAUACCGUUGGUAAGUACGUACAGAACAUGUUUGAACUAUCGUCCAUUUUGAAUCAGCUAUUCAAACUUUCAAAAUUUUAAUUGUGCCGUCUAAUCUUUUAAUUUGUUUGAUUUGAGUCAGUUAACGGCACUUUAACUUCAAAAUAUAAGUAAAUUACUUAUUUUAAUAAGUUUUAUAGGUAUGAGAAUUGAAUAAAGUAUACUAACUAAACAUGCAAAGAUAAAUAACCUAUUUAAAUUUUAAAGUUAAAUUGCCAUUGACUAACUCAGAUCAAACAAAUUGAAAGGUUCGACAGCAAAAUCAAAAUUUUGAUAAAUUAGAUAGCUAAAUCAAAAUAGUUUAGAUAAAUAGCGUUGUCCAAAUUGAAAGAUUCUCAGUGCAUGCAUUUUGACAAAUAGUGCUAUACCUUAUUAAACAGGCACAUAAAAAUAAAUAAAUAUAAUAUAAUAUAAUAAAUACUAAAGAGUCUCUGAUUUAUUUGUUUACCCCUCCUCCCUAACCAUAAUAAUCAGCACUAUCGGAAACAAAGAAAAAGGCAAACGUUUCUCUCUCCCCACUCACGUAUUAAAUUAUAUGAAACAAUUAUUUAUUCAGACGUUUAAAAGUUUGUUGGAUUUCUCAAAAAUUAUUAAAAACUAGUUUCACAUAAAAAAGUUCUCUAGUCUUCAUUUUCUAGUUAAAAUUUUGAAAAAAAAAUGAGAAGAGAUUUUUUCUUUUUUCGUAAAAUUUAACAGACAAAAAAAAUACUUUUCUAACUAUUUUUAGAAUAUUUGAUGAAGAAGAAAAUAUUUGUUGGAGAACGAUAUUUUUAAUAUUUAUAUUCAAUUCAUUUUAGAACAUAAAGUAAUCAUUUUUAUCCCAAUAUAUGGGCCAGUUGUGUUUUUAUUUUUUUAUCCAAAAUUUCCCAUUGUGAAGUUCUUUAACAAUUUGAUAUUUCGCAUCUGUACUGCUGUCCUUGCGCCACAAUCUUCUUCUUUUUAUUUUUAUUGUUUUUUUGAGAGAGAUAGGUAGCACGCUACCCGCUUCGUUUAUUUUAUUUAGAAAUAAACUUAGCUGAAAAUGUGAAUCAACUAGGAUUCGAACUUGGAUCUCGGGUACCAGUCAUCAAGCCCUUUGCCACUUGCUCUAGGGACGGUCGGUCGCUUUUUAUGUAGUUGGUUCCGAAAAAACACCAAACAUAUAAUGAGGGAUAUCAAUGGUCAUGGAUACCUAAGUUUUUUCCCGCGGUUUUAACUAUAAUCUAAAUGGAAAUAAUUUCGAUGAUGCUAAAACGGACAUAUUGUAUGUCCAGUCCUCAAAUUAUAAGUCAGGCAAUAUUUGUUAGCUUAAAGUAGUCGGCAUUCUGUCCUGUGUGACGGAAAACUCAAUUUAAUUAAGUUUCACAUCACUUUUACAUUAAUAUUUCGUCACUAUUUAAUUAAUUAAAUUAAGUUGUGAAACUUAAUUGCAAAAUUCUUAAAGUUCGAACUAGAAAUUAUCACAAAUUAAAAUUUGAGGACCAAAGUGCCACUCGUUAUAUAGUUUGAGGACCAAACGCGCGAUUCUAUCCAAAAAAAAAAAAAUCAAAACUGAGCAACUAUGAAUCAUGUAAUUUCCAAAUGGUGAAAACGUACACAAUUUAUCCGAACUAUGAAUUAUUUUGAAUUUGUUAUAUACCUAAUCUUUGAAAAUUUAAUUUUUAUACCCAGUAUUUUAAUUUGUUUGAUUUAAAUCAGUCAACUGUACUUUAGCUUCUAAAUUUGAAUGCAUUGUUUAUUUUUACAGAUUUAACUAGUAUACUUAAUUCAAUUUGACCAAUUAUCUAUUUAUUAAAAUAAAAUAAUUAGUUUAAAGUAAAAGUAUCUUUGGCUCAAACCAAAUAAAUUGAAACAUUGGCUAGUAAAUAAAAUUUUUAAAAUGCUAGGUUGUAGGUUCAAAAGGACCCAUAAUUCAGAUAAUUUUGUAUAUUUUUACUUUUCCGAAUCGAAUCCAAACCUUGAACAAACUCCAAAAUACAUUUAGAUUCAUAUAUAAAUAAAUUGAGGCCAUUUUAAUAAAAGUUGCAACUCAGUUCGCUGUUCACGAGCUAGCUCAUAUUCGCCUCAAAAUGAGCUCGAAAUUGGUCGAGCUCGUGUUCGGCUCAACAUAGCUUGUGUGUGUGUGUAUAUAUUAUAAAUCUCUACUAUUUGGAUUUUUCGCUGACUCAAAUACAAAGAGGCUUAUAUUUUGUGAAUUUCAAUUAUUUGAUUAAGAAUUUUUUUAAAAAAAAACUUUUCAUUCAGUAGUAGGGCUGACAAUCUAAUUUGUUGUUCGUAAGCCAGCUCUUGAUCGACUCGUUAAUAAAUAAGCUGAACAUGAGCUAAAUUUUUCAACUUAAUUUUUCAACGAAUCAACUUAUAUUCAACUUGUUUAAUAAACGAGCGUGUACUAGCCGCCCCAGCGUGCUCGUGUUUGACUUAUCACAUUAAAUGUUGCUAAAUUUUGCUUUUGCUACUUGAGAAUGGAUGGAUGGAGUUUAGAAGGCCCCACUUGCAUUUCAAGAGUUAAUAUGUUAGACAUUUCCUUGCUAUUAUUGGUAUGUUCUAAAUUUGACCAAUUUUAAUUUAAUUACCUACCAAUAUUAGACUAUUAAUUAAUGGAUCUAGAUCUAAUAUGAGGGGUGAAAACUGGUUGUAUAUUAUUUGAUCCCACUUGGCUCCAAAUCUGAAAAUUACAGUACGCAAAUUGGGUUUAGGCAAUCCAAUUCAGAUUCAGACUCAGAUUCAGAUCUUGAGUCGACAAUUUUUUAUAUUCGAAAUUGGAUUCAGAAUCAAAUUUAUCAUUCUUCUUUGGAUUCAAAUUUAGAUAUCGAAUUAUUCGAUUCAACAAAAACUAAUUUUAAUCUGUUUUCUGUAUACAACAUUCUUGAUGAGAUUAUUAUUAUUGGUAUGAAUUGAAUAAUAUUUAUCCAAUAAGACAUGAUGAGAAACUCCUCACAGCUCACAAGACAAGUCAAAAUUUUAUUUUGUAUAUGAUGUGUAACUUAUAUUCCGUACAUGAUUGUUUGGCCUUGUUUUAAUUUUUUAAACUUCGUACAAUAAAUUGCAGUUAGGCCAAAAUUUAUGUAAUUUUUACGACAUAUUUUCUUAAAAGAAUUCAUUUUCAAAACUUAUAUUUUCUGCUUACCAAAAAAAAAGAAAAAAAAUUAUGAGUUUUACAGUUUUAGCUACUUUUAGAUUACGUUACGGCUAUUUCUAGUGUAGGAAAGAGACUAAAUUACCGAAAAUUUUCUUGUUGAAAUCUAAUUUUUCACCUUUUUUUUUUCUAUUAUUUAGAAAUCUGUACUUUGCCCCCUUGUAAAAUGAAAAAUAUUUUCAUUAGGCUUUCGUUAUAAAAUAUUUUUUUAUACCAAAAAUACCCCCCGCCCUCUCUACUUUUGCUCCGCACUCCUCCGUCUCGCCACCUCGCCCUCCUCCACUGCCUCGCCCUCGCCCUCGCCCACAUCUCCGUCCGCGCCCACAAACACCCCCUCGCCCUCCUCCGCCGCUUCGCUUUCACCCUUGUUGCCCUACCCACCUCUCCAUCCACGCUCAUCUUGAUUUUCUCCCUAGUGUCACCGAAAUGGAGGAACGACAAGGGUGUAGGAGGAAAAGGAGAACAGGUGGAGAAGAAAAUGGAGAGGAACUGCGGCCGAUCGAGGCGCGAACCGCGGCCAAUCGAGACGGCGGAUGAGCAAGAUGAACGAGGAGACGAAAAUGGUGAGGGACAAAAUAGUCAUUUUGUCAUCACAGUUUAGUUUACACCGUACCCCUGUGAAUAUUUUUUAUUUUAUAAGGGAACAAAGUGUAGGUUUUUUAAAUAACGGGAGGAAAAAGUGAAAAAUCGAAUUUUGACAGAAAAAUUUUAUAUAAUUUAGCCUAGGAAAGAUAAGAAUUAGAAGUUUGAAGAUUGAUAAAGAUUUUCUCCCUAUGGCUAUUGGCUAUCCUUCCUUUUAUAAACAUAGAGAUUUUCACAAGAUAUUUACACCCCAUUUUUAGAACGAUUCUUUAAUUCUUCACUUAUUUCCCAAAUCUUCGGCAUUUAUUGUUUGAAUUUUGAAUUUUUAAGUGCACUUCUAAUUUUCACUUUUUAGAUCUCAUCGCAGCACUUAUCCAAAAUAACUUUUGGCAUGCUCCUUAUAAGCGAAAUUAAGCCUUUUUGCUAAAAGUACUAUCUAUAAUGGCUUUCCAUAUAUAAUCAAUCACCUACCGAAACUCAAAUUUUACGCUAAAGCCUUUCUUUGGCGUUACAUACGUCCCUUAUACUCGUUCGCAUAUUGGUGUCAAAAUUAUGUAUUUAUAAUAAGCACAAUUUAUUUAGAAAUAACAUAUCUAAUGCAUCAUUUAAAACUUAAAAAUAUCUUAUUUAUUCCCGAAUGACUAAAAUUUUCUUAUUGAUUUUUUUAAAAAAUUCCUCAAAUAUCCUCUUUUCCUUCUAGGUUUUACUUAUAGGAUUGAAUUUUAUAAGGAUAUUUUGAGUACUGAGGAAUAAAUUGAAUCCGGCUGCUAUAUUACCGGUAGUACAGAGGCCACCAAACUACCACUAAGUUGUUUUCAAUGAUGCGGCUUCCAAAUCGAUGAUCGGCUCUAUUAGACUUGAUUUAUACUAUUGAAAGUAUUUGAAAACUAAAUUUUAUAAUUUUUUAUUAUUUUUUACGUAUCAAAUGAGUAGUAUAAAAAUGAACAACUUAAAUUAAAAGUCUUAUAAAAUAAUGAUAAAAGAUUUGAAUUUAAAAUCAGAGGUAUCGAUCUUAAUCUAAAUAGUAAAAAAAAAAAUUAUAAAAACUUUAUCAGAUUUGAAUUGUUUUACACCGUUAAGUUUAUAAACGAAUGCAUCACAUCGAUCAUUAAAAUUAUCAAUUUUGAGACUUUUUGAUCACUAGUCAAAUAAUGUUGAAAAAUUAUGAAAUUUAAUUCUCAAAUACUUUUAGUAGUAUAGAUCAAGUCGAACGACGCGGAUCGUCGAUUUGAAAGCCGCAUAAUUGAAAACAACUUGAUAGCACGAAGACCUCCGUGCUACCGAUAGUAUAGCAGCCUAGCUCGAAUGAAUUUAAAAAUUUUCAACAAUAGCGAGGUCUAUCUAUAAAAUCAAAGUUCCCAUUCCCAUUUAUUUAUUCUACACACAAAAAAACAAACAAAAGGUCUAAUUAAGAUUCAGAUCUCCUAAUAGUACAGUGCUCACAUUUUCAACCCCUUGGAAACUCUUUCUGUCCACAAAAUAUAAAAAACCAAGAAGUGGAAACUUCUCGAUGCAGCGGCAGAGCAAUCAAUUAAAAAGGUCGGUGUUGGGACCAAAGUUAGACCAGUCAUACAGUGUGAGACAGAGAGAGAGAACUCAGAGAGAGACAAAUCCCAUGACCUAGAAGCUUACUUAGUUAUUAUGGGGAGUUGAAUANCACACAAAAAAACAAACAAAAGGUCUAAUUAAGAUUCAGAUCUCCUAAUAGUACAGUGCUCACAUUUUCAACCCCUUGGAAACUCUUUCUGUCCACAACUAAUAAAAAAGUCAAAUGAAAAGGUGCAUCACAUGCUCAAAUUCUUAUAAAAUUGUGGGCUAGUAGCUGGGGGGGGCUGGUAGGAAAAGUCAAAUGGAGAAAUGUACAUGGCUUGGGUUGGCUGGCUUUCAAUCCAAUUACAAGGGUAAAACCCUGUCGGCAUUCAACAAGCAGAAUCACCGACCGAUCAUACAUCGCGCAAUUGGCUGUGCAGAAUUAUCGAUCGAUCAUACAAAGCGUAAUUGACUGUGCAAAAUUACGUACCGACAGAUCAUACAUAACUUAGUCGACUGUGCAGAAUUACUGACCGAUCAUACAUAGCUUAGUUGAUUGUGCAGAAUUACCGACCGAUCAUACAUAACAUCGUUGAUUGUAAAUUUGAUGGUUAGUAUUUGAUUUUAUAAAUUAUAAAAAAUAAAUAAAAUAGAUACUUUAUUUUUUUUCUCUGACAAAAUACUGGUAUUCACCUCACCCACUUCAAAAUCCACCUUUUUUUUUUUUUGUUUUUAAAAAACUAAUGAGUGUGUUAGGUGGAUUAGACUUGAUUAUUUAACUCAAAAAUCAUAAGAAAAGGACUUAACUAUGUCCUGUAUUUAAAUCAUAACUAGCUCCGUGAGAUUGUAAUUAGGGAAAACUUCAAAAAACCCCCCGUGGUUUUGUAGUUUCUCACUUUGCCCCCCUGUAGUUUAAAAUGUAUCAAAUUGCCCCCUGUGGUUUCGUUUUUAUCUUUUCGGUAGCUUUUUCGUUAAUAUUUCAUUAAAUUAUAUUCAAAAAACUUCAGAUACCCAUCUAGAUUUAUCAAAUAUUCACUUUAGUACCCUUUAAUUUUCACUUUACCACUAAUUUAAGAAAAAAAAUAAUGAAAUUGAUAAGAAAAAGAGAAAAAAGAAACCACAGGGGGGUAAAUUGAUACAUUUUAAACCACAGAGGGGCAAAGUGAGAAACUACGAAACCACAGGAAGGGUUUUUGAAGUUUUCCCUUGUAAUUACGAUUGCUACUUUCAAUAUUUAACGUCACGUUAUAGAAGAACUUUGAUAGAUAUCAUCAUGUAUGUCACUUUUGUUGUAACAAAAUGUUAUUAUAUUAAAUUUUCUUACAAAAGAUCAUUAAUAUUUUUUUUUACUAUUAAAAAAUUGUCCCACAUAAGACUUAGCAAAUAUUUCCCAUAACCCUUACUAGAAUGUUCUAGCAACUGAGCAAUCAACCAAAAUUCUACCAAAAAAAAAAAAAUCAAUUAUCAAGAAAAAGAUAAAUCAAACUAAGGUCCAGUUUGGUAGUACAGUGGCGAAAAGCGCAUAUUUUAUGCUUUUUAUAAUAUAAAAAAAAAAAUAUAUAAUUAGAAGCACUUUAAAUUUUUAGGCUUUUCAAAGUUUAUGGCCAUCACAUUACCAAAAAUAGGCCUAAAUUUGUUUGCUCCCGUUUCUCGUUCCACUAUUUAAUAUCAAUUAUUUUCAAUAUAAUAUUUUGACAAAACAUUAAUAAUUUUUAAAUUGCACAAGACGCAAAACUGAAUUUUUUACUCUCAAAAAUUAGAAAUUGUAAAUCAAUACUUUUAAUUUUACAGCAGAAAGAAUAUCAUUACAAAUAUUUAAUAUAAUUUCUAUUUUACUAAAUAAUAUUUAAAAUAUUUUAUUAAUAAAAGAAUAAAAGAAUGUAAUUUAAAUUUUAGUAUGUUAAUGGACUGAAUUCACAACGAAAUGAAAGAAUAUUGCCCUAUCACAUAUGAAAAGAAAAACUAAAAAUUGAAGAAAAAAAAAAGUUUAUACUAAACGUCAAAACAUGUCGUAUUCUUUUUAUCUUUUUUUUGCUUAAAAAAAAUUUAGAAAAAAAUAUCAAUUCACUUAUCAAUUCACAGUUGACCUUACUGUUGGAUAAUCGAUAUUGACUAUAAUUCUAGAAACUCGAACGGUCAUAACAAUCAAUUUUAUUUAUAACAUACAGAUCCAAUGUAACCUGCCACCAAUUCAUCUAUAAAAUUUACAAUCCAUUUUUUUUUUCUUUUUAUAAAUCUCAGUGUGCCCCAACUUUUGAAUUGAUCCAAUCUUCAACAAGAAAGAAAAAAAAAGAAAAAAGAAAAAUUCAGGCACCCAAAGCAAAGAAGACACGUGCAAACCAACAAUCCAAGCCUGACAACUCUACCUCCGAGCCCCAAAAUAAUAAGAAUAAUAAUAAUAAAAUAAAAUAAAAUUAUGAGUUGCCGUCUCAAUGUUACAACUCGAUGCACAUCCAUUUGAACGCGUAAUUAAAGCUCACCAAAUCCCCACGCCAUCGCAUGCAUCUCAAAAAUAAAUAACUAAAUAAUUAUAUAUAUAUAUAUAUAUAUAUAUAUAUAUAUAUAUAUAUAUAUAUAUAUAUAUAUAUAGAGAGAGAGAGAGUUGAGCUAGAAUACUAUCGAUAGCAAACGGAUUUCGUUGCCAUCUAUUUGUUUUCGAUGAUAGAGCCUUCAAAUCGACGAUCGGCACUGUUGAACAUGAUCUAUACCACUUGAAGUGUUUAGAAAUAAAAUUUUAAUUCUUUUCGACAUCAUUUGCCUAAUGCUCAAAGGGUUUCAAAAUUUAUAAUUUUAAUGGUCGAUAUAAGGUGUUUUCUCGUUUAACGGCGUAAAAAUAUCCAAAUCAAUUGAAUUUUUGUUAGAAAAUUCUUUAAACAAUUUAAAACAAGAUCGACUCUUGAUCUUCAUAAUAAAACUCCUAUCAUCAUUUUUUAAAGAAUAUUCAUUUUCAGCUAUUCAUUUUUGUGUCGACUCGAUGGAUAUAUAAGAGAACAAUAUCAAAAAUGUAUGAAAUUUGAUUUCUAGAUACUUCAAGUGGUAUAGAUCAUGUUCAACGAUGCCGAUCGUCGAUUUAUAGGCUCUAUCAUCGAAAACAAAUGGGUGGCAACAGAGCCCGUUUGCUAUUAUUUUUGAUGAUAGAGUUUCCAAAUUGACGGUCGGCACCGUUGAACAUGAUCUAGACCAUUUAAAUCAUCUAGAAAUCAAAUUUCAUGCUUUAUUUGGCAUCACUAGCUAAACGAUCAAAGGGUCACAAAAUUUAUAAUUUUAAUGACCGAUAUGGUGUGUUUGCUCGUUUAACGGUAUAGAAAAGUUCAAAUCAACUAAUUUUUUGUUAAAAAAUUUUUUAAACUAUUUAAAAUAAGAUCUAGACUCUAGAUCUCAAAUAUAAAAAUUGUAUCAUCACUUUUUGAAGGAUACUCAUUUUCAGCUAUUUAUUUUUCUGUUCACUUGAUUGACAAGAGAACAAUAUCGAAAAUGUGUGAAAUUUGAUUUCCAGAUAGUUUAAAUAGUUUAGAUCAUAUUUAACGGUGCCGAUCAUCAAUUUGAAAGCUCUAUCAUCGAAGACAAAAUUGGUAGAAAAUCGAGUCGUUUACUACCGAUAGUAUUCUAGCAAAACUCUCUCUCUCUCUCUCUCUCUCUCUCUCUCUCUAUAUAUAUAUAUAUAUAUAUAUAUAUAACUAGGCUAAUAUACUAUUAAUAGUAAGUCAUUGGUGCUACUAAGUUUUUGGCCAUUGGAUUAAGAGAUAUGCGGUUAGGAUGAUGUGGGCCCCCUAGGGUUGAGUGGGUGGUUGAUUGAAUAGUAUGAUCUAAUGGGUGAAAACGAUCAAAAGGAUAGAUCUAACGGCGGAAAACUUGGUAGCACUAAGUGCUUCGUGCUAUUAAUAGCAUAGUAGCCGGACUCUAUCUCUCUCUAUAUAUAUAUAAUAGUAUAGAAUUAUUAUAAUAUCGGAAGUAUAGAGAAUUUGAUAUUUUUAAUUUUUUAUUCUUAAAUCGAGAAUUAUAUGGUUGGGGUGAUUACAGUUUUUCUUAUGAUUGAAUAAUACUUCUAGAGUUGAGUGAUUUUCAAAUAAUAGUAGUAUUAAUCUAAAAGUUAGAAAUAAUUAAAGAAACUAAUUUAAAGACAAAAAAAAAAAAUUGAAAGCAUCAAAUUUUUUCUACUUUUAAUAGGACAGUAGUUCUACUUUAUUAUAUAUAAUAAUAAUAAUAAUAAAAGUAAAGUAAGACAUUACAGUAUAGCGCCAGCCGUAAUUGGGGCGUUACUAAUUUUCUAAUACCCGUAUAAUACUUUGUCAACCCUUUUGCGCUUUCAAAAAUUAUUAUUAUUUAUUAUUCAAAAUGAAACCCACCCCCACCACGACCACCACCGCGUGGACAUCGACGAGCGCUUUUGAAUCCCUCAUCACCGUCAUCUUCCUCUUCCUCUUCCUUUGUGUGUGUGUGGUGUAUAUAUAUAUAUAUAUAUAUAUAUAUAUAUGACCAAGUACUUUUUCAACUCCACCAUCUCCACUGAAACCGCACCUUUGAGAAUCAAUCAAUAAUAAUUUUCGCAUUUCGAUCGCCUUUGGUUUUACUUUUACUAAUACUAAUGGAGGAGGUAGAGGUAGAGGUAGAGGUAGAGGUGCCGAGUUAUUUUGUGUGCCCGAUUUCGCUGGAGAUAAUGCGGGAUCCGGUGAUCCUGCCGUCGGGGAUCACCUACGACCGCCAGAGCAUCGAGCGCUGGAUCUUCGCCGACGGCAAGACGACCUGCCCCGUGACCCGGCUGCCGCUCCCGCUGCCGGCCGACGACCUCGACCUCGACCUCACCCCCAACCACACUCUGCGCCGCCUCAUCCAGGCCUGGUCCGCCCUCCACUCCUCCGAGCGCUUCCCCACCCCCAAACCCCCCCUCGACAAGCACUCCGUCUCCCGCCUCCUCCAAGAAUCGAGCGCCAGCCGGCACCACCUCCUGAGCUGCCUGCGGAAGCUCAAAGCUCUCGUCUCGGAGGGCGAGAGGAACCGCCGCUGCGUCGAGUCGACCCCCGGCGCGGUCGAAUUCUUGGCCUCGGUCGUCGCCUCCGCCGCCGCCGGCGACGACGCGGAGUGCGACGUCGCGAUCGACGUGCUGGCGUCGUUGAAGCUGUCCGAGCGGAGGAUCGUCGAGGCCGUCGCCGAGAAGAAUCCCGAGUUCGUGGACGCGCUGGUCGGAGUGCUGCGCCGACCGUAUUACCCGUCGCGGGCGCACGCGGUGGCGAUCCUGCGGUCGCUCGCCGGCGCGCUCUCCCCCGCGCGGCUGGCGGCGCUCGGCGAGGACUUGUUCCGCGAGGUGGUCAGGGUGCUGCGCGACCGGGUGUCGCAGCAGGCGACGAAGGCGGCGCUGCAGGCGCUCGUGGAGCUGGCGCCGUGGGGCCGCAACCGCGUGAAGGCGGUGAGCGCGGGCGCGGUGGAGGUCGUGGUCGAGAUCCUGCUCGAGGGGCCGGACCGGCGGACGUGCGAGCUGGCGCUGGCGGCGGCGGAGCGGCUGUGCGGGUGCGCGGAGGGGCGGGCGGCGCUGGCGAGGCACCCGGCGGGGGUGGCGGCGGUGGCGAAGAAGGCGCUGCGGGUGUCGCACGCUGCCACGGACCGCGCCGUCAGGGCGCUGUGCUCGGUGGCGCGGCACGCGCCCGCGGCGGCCGUGCUGGCCGAGAUGGCGAGCGUGGGCGCCGUCGCGAAGCUCUGCCUCGUGCUGCAGUCCCCCGACUGCGGCGACAGGACCAAGGAGCGGGUCAGGGAGGUGCUCAGGUUGCAUUCCAGGGUCUGGAGGAGCUCUCCCUGCUUGUCCCCGCAGUUCUUAGCCUUGUAUCCCCCUCCCUCCUCCUCCUCCUCCUCCUCCUCCUCUCCUCGUGACAUGCAAUGAAUAAUUAAUUAAACACAAGCUGUAGAUUUUGAUACUUUUGUUCCUAAUUUGGGCAUGCAUGAAUUGAAAAGUUAAACAUCAUCAUGCACGCCCAAUAUGUAAUGUUGAAAGUAAAAAAACCUUGUAAAGAAACCAUUUUGUUUCUGGUACGUGCUCUUUUCAAAUGCAUGUAUUCUUUUCAUUUAUAAUAAGAAGAGGAGAAAAUCAUCUAUUUUUAAAACUUGUUGUGGAUAAAUAUUAAGUUUUGCUGUAUAUAUUAUGUAUACAUAGUGCUAUAUAUUUUGACGAAUGAAUAUUGCUUCACCAGGCAUUAUAUGAGCGCUAAAGGAAAAAAUUGGUGGCGUCUUUUUUUCUGUGUGAUAUAAUUUGAUGUGUUAGAAAGAGGAAAGAGUACUAAUAAUUAGGGUGAAUGAUAUUAAGUGAAAAGGCCCAAGGAAAAAAAAAAGAAAAAAAGAGACUGAGCAGAAGAGCACUUAUCUACAUUUCAAUUUUGUUCAUGAUCAUUCAAUCGAUUCAUCUCUUAAUUGUUGUGGAUAAUUGCAUUCCCAAUGAUGUAGCAGAGUUCAUAUUUACUAACUAUGCUAUAUUAAUUACCUGCUAUAUAUUCAGAUCUUGAUUCCUCUAACACUGAGCUCUUUCAAGCUGAGUACAAAAUUACCAAUAUAUUAUGCAAUAUAUUAUGCUAGUCUAUCUAUACUGCAUUGAGAGAGAGUGAUAUCGAAGUUCAUUGUUUUGUUAAUAGCAGUUUGAGAUCAUAUAGAGCUAGAUGACUCUUCUCUUCUCUUAUAUAUUAUUUAUGUUUUUUUUUUUUUUUUUUUUUUAAUUAGCUUAAGGAAUGGAUUCUUCUGUGCAUCUUCAGCUCAAUUAAUGCUCCAUGUGUCAAUUUGCAUGAAAACAUUAGUUACAGGAAAUGAAUGAUUAUGCAAGCACAGAUCUUCUGUGGGUUGCAGUGUUUUCGAUUUGAUCUGGUACUAUCCAGAAGGGAAUAAUAUUAUUGACAAAAAGUAGGGGAGCUGUAACAUCAAUUUUUUAUAUAAGCAUGCAUGGUAUUUGGAAAGAAGAUUAGCUUGUUAAAUGAAGAUUAGCUUGUUAAAUUAAGGGCCUUUUGGUUAGAUAUAAUGAGAACUGUAAUAUAGUUAAAAAUAUAUAUAGUUGGAGAUGUAGUUGUGAUAUAUUGGACCUUAGUAAAGAGGUAAAAUUACAGUAUAAAUUUUUUUAGUCAGUAUUUUUAUAGUGCUUGACUAAAUUAAAAAUAUUUUAGCGUGAAAUAGAUGCAAGAACGAAUUUAAAAUAUGUAAUUUUNGCCGCCGUGCCCGGCAGCGCCGUGCUCGUCACCGACUGGGCCUGGGCGCUCGUCCGCGCCGGCCGCGCCGAGCACGCCCUCGACCCCCCCUUACUGGCCAUUGGCAGCAGCGGCGGCGGCAGCGGAGCGGGCAAUCCGAAGGGGAUCAUGGUGAGGUUCGUGCUGGUGGGGAUUCUGUGCGCGCACGCGAUGGUGGCGCUGCGGCCGACGAUCGCCGACGCGCUGCGGAUGCUGGAGGGGGACCUCGAGGUGCCGGACGUUCCGGACCGGCCCACGCCGCUAGGCUUUCACGGGCUGAUAUACGGCGACGGCAGCGGGGCGGAUACGUUCGCGGCCUCGCCGGCGCUCAGCGGCCCGUGCUUGGACGCCGGAGACAUGCUCAGGUGAGAAGAGAAAGGUGGCCGUUUUAAGGUGUUUGAUGAAAUACCUGGUUCUAUCUUAAUCUGGAGGAGGAGAAUAUUAUCAUGUCCUAUAUAUUGUAAUGUAAUUUACUCAGAACGGUGAUUUUUUUUUUUUUUUUUUUUUUUUCGUAACGAUCGAUUGGCGCGUGCUCGUGAUUUUUUCGAUGUUUCCAUAUUGGGGUUAGUAUCAUAAUAUUAUAAUUUUUCGUUUAGCCUCUUUUGAGGGAUUUUUGUAUAAAUUAAGAUUUAGAAGCUAAUUUUGUUUAUACAUUUUAGGAGUUGAUUUUGUGUGAUUUUCAUAAAAGUUUUGAACCACUCUGAGGUAUCGUGGUUGCCAUUCAGGCUAAGAGAGCAGUAACUUAUUAUCUCACUAUCCCAAUUACCGUUCUGUUCUUCGAAUUUGCAAUAUAUGUGAAUUCCGUGUUGUCAAAAUUGGCGUACUAAUUUUUAUAUUAAUAUUAUAUUAUUUAGUUUAUGAGAUAAACUAUUGAUAUAGUUAAGAUAAUAAAAGUAUUUUUGACACCUUUCUGUAGAGUAUAUUGAGACAUACAUAUUUUUCACUAUUAGUAUUAUAUUAUAUUAUCUUGGAGGCCAAUAGAGAAUGAUAGAUAGUGUGAGACUAUAACUAUAUUUGUGACACUUUGACAGUAUUAUCACAACCUAUUUGAUUAUUGCAUUUGACUAUAACUUGUACGCUAUUUUGACCUUGACAGUGAUACUAUACUCGAUUAGGGUAGCGCCCCCGCGAGUGCCAUUCCGGAUGUUGGGCUAUGUGAUAUUAUUAUGAUAUGGAUUUGACAAUAGACUGCGUGGUAGCGAACCACUAUAAAUGGAUGCUGAACAUGAGGCGUCGCAGGCUAGAUCUGACUGUUGAGUCGAUCACUGUGAUUGAAUAUUAUUGUUUUAUUCAGUAUCUAACUGAUACAUGAAAUAUAUGAUUCACAGGUUAAUUUUAGUUAUAUUGUAGAGAUAUGAUAGUAAUAGUUCCUCUCAGCAAUUAUUUAUAUUAGUAUUUAUUUAUUUCCACUGGUUAGUUAUUUACUAUUUUUGACUCUUAUGGACCUAGUGGUGUAGACCGUCGGCGUUGACUAUCGUCCCCACUGGCGAUUAUUGAUUAUAGUUUUAGGCCCUCUUUAUUAAUAUUUUAUUUCAGAACCUUUUGCACCAGCUACUGAUCGAGAUAAAGGAAUUGCAAAUAGUUAGCAUUUUCUAUCCUUUUUGUGUGUGUAAUUGGACCACCUAGCAGUGUGUUUUGAGAUUUGAAGUGGUCGGAGAUGUUAUACCAUUUUGAGGAUUAGUGUAAUAAUGAUUGUAUGUUUACAGUGUUGCUAUAGUGUAUAGUUUUUAUUUUACUUUAAUACUACUGUUGUUAAAUUUUAGUUAACUAUUUUUUGGACAGCUUUUGUUGACGCUUCGUAUGUAUAAGAUGUAUCCUUGUACAUGUGGUGGGUCUGUUGACGUAAUCCGGGCUUCUGCAGUAAUUCGGGUUGUGAAAGUAGUAAUUAUAUUUAUAUAUAUUUCGUUUGAUUGGAUGCAGUAAGAAGCGUUAUAAUUAUAAAUUAUUUAUUUGAUUGUAUGUAAUUGAGAAAUGCAUUUAAAAAAAAAAUAUUUCUUUAUAUUUUGUGGUGGUGAGAUUAUCUUUAAUGUAGAAAGAAAAAAGAUAUAGAUGUUUUUUAUUCAAAAAAUAAUUACAAAAGUAAGUUUAUCUUCUGUUUACAGUUAUUUUCUCCAACUAUUAUAGUUGAAACAAUGAGUAAUUUGAGCGUGGUUCCAACUGCUGUAAUUGAAUCUCAUUAUGCAGCUCUAAUUGUAGCAGUAAACCCAAACAUAGUAAACCAAACGCCAAAUUUGAAAUUACAUAUACGUAUAACAGUAAUGCAAUUGCAACUAUAAGUAACCUAACAACCUGUAAGUGUAUCUUAAUGCACAUGCAGUAGUUAACAUUUUUUUUUUUUUUUUUUUUUUUUGAGAGAUAGAUAGCACGCUACCCAUUUCGUUUAUUUCAUUUAGAAAUAAACUUAGUUGGAAAUAUGAAUUAAGUAGGAUUCGAACUUGGGUCUCGGUUAUCAACCACCAAACCCUUUACCACUUGAUCUAGGAACGGUCGGUAGUAGUUAACUAAUUAAUAAGUAAUAUUUAUAAGUUUUCGCCAUUUACAACUUAGAUUUACGGAUAUAAAUAAAACACGUACGAGUUAUUGAUAAACCCUGAUGCGUUGAAUUUGAUCAACUCUAUUAUGUAACCAUAGAUCAAAUUUCAAGCAAAACUAAUUUUUGAAAGUUCUUACUGUUAAGGUUACGGGGCAUUAAAAUUAUUUUUCUUUGUUUUUUUAAUUUUCCAGGCCCAUAUAUAGUUUCCACAUCUCAAAAAAGCCAAUAACAACAUACAUAACUUUAUUUUUUUCUUUUUUUGUUUGCUUAAUUUUUUUUUCUUUUAAUAGAUUCCAGGAUUUCCGAGUAUCAACGAGCCGAACACGAGCGAGAUGCGGCCGGCUUGUGUUUGGCUCAUUUCAUAAAUGAGCCGGACACGAGCCAGAUCGUUAAAGUGUCGAGCCGAAAAAUUCAGCUCGUUUAUUAACGAUCCAAACACGAGCUGGCUCAUGAAUAAUAAGUUAAAAGAAUUAUAAAAGAUGUGUAUAGAAAAUAAAUUUAUGUGAUCCUAUCUAUUUGAUUUUGAUCUAAUAGUUGAAAUUUUAUAUAUAAAUGACUUUUUUAUAAUUGAGUUGGGCUUUAUAUUUAGAUUAAACUAAAAAUUAAUUAAUUAUUUAUAUAUAUAAAAAUAUAAAAUAUAUGUAUUCGAGCUGUUAUCGAGUCGAACACGAGCGAGCUAACCCCAGCUCGUGUUCAGCUCCUUUACUAAACGAGAUGGAAAAUUCAACUCGUGUUCGGCUCGUUUACUAAACAAGCGAUUUGAUCUCGAGCUUAUUUCGAGCUGAACAUGAGCUACUCGCGAACAACGAGCUGGAUUGACACCCCGACCGCGCUGGAUAAGUCUCAAGCGUAUUUACUUUUUCAACGAAUUAAGCUAACUGUGCAUGCUUUUUUCCAACUCUUUGUCAAAAAAAAAUAAACAAAAAGAUGAAAAAUUUUAUUUUUUAAAAAAAAGUCCUUUUUCUUUCUCCACUUUUGAAGUAAAUAGAAAUUGACCAUCACAGAUGCUCAGCUUCUCUCCAUUCUUUUUCUUUUCCAUUUCUUUUUUCUUUUUUUACCUCAAGUUUCAAUCCAAACAAUUUCUUCUCUCCAUCCAAAUAAUAUGUAAUAAUAAAAUGCACAGAACUAGUAGUGAUCCAAUAUGUAAAAUUUUUUAUUUUAUUUUCUUGCAUCAUGUCCACAUGCUUCUGAACCCAUAUGUGACAUUUUGGAGAUAUUCUCAAGUUAAUUGGAAAAGCAUUAAAUACAUGAGAAUGAUAAUCUACCAACCGUACUUGGAGACUGUUUGGUUGUACGUAGUUCUAACCGCACUGUAAUUAUAACUAUAUGUAAAUAUAAAUUUGGUGUUUGAUUUGAUAUAUUUGAUUCCAACUGCUACAGUAGGAAUUGUAGGACGCCCAAGCUGUCCAAUUGCAGCAUAUCGAACUACGUCCAAAUUGACCGUAGUUCUAAUUACACCAGUUAAAAAGAAUAAUUUUAAACAAAAAAUAUGCUUACCUUUUUAAUUAUAUAUAUAUAUAUUAUUAGAGUUAAUCUCACCAUCAUAUAUAUAAAAUAAUAAAAUUUUAAAAACAUUUCUCAAUUGUAUACAACCGAACAAAUUAUUUAUAGUUGCAGCGCUUUCUACUAAAUUCAACUAAACAGAAUGCAUAUAGUUACAACUGCUGCUUUUUCAACUACAUGGAUUUUCAACUACACUGUAAUAUAUUAAUCGUUUAGGACGAAAACGACUUUCCUCCUUUUCACUUCCACCCCACUUUCACCCGAACAAACAUGCCCUUAGCUAAGGAUUUUGAUGGUGAGUAUUUGAAAUCUCAAAUUUGAAGUUUAAUUAUUUUAUAUUUUAAGUUUAAUUUAUUUCUUAAAAAAAAACUAAACAAAGUAGAUAAUUUAAUGGAUAAAAAUAGUCAAAGGGUUAAAUCUAACGGCGGAAAACUCAAUAGCACCAAACGCUUGGUACUAUCGAUAGUAUCCCAGCAGGACUGUAUAUAUAAAACUAGGCUGAAAUACUAUCGAUAGCACCAAACGCUUGGUGCUAUUGAGUUUUCGGUUCUUGGAUGAAAAAACGUACGGUUACGAUGAUGUGGCCGGGCCCCCUAGGGUUGAGUAAGUUAUUUGUUCAAUAGUAUAAUUUAAUGGAUAAAAAUAGUCAAAGGGUUAAAUCUAACGGCGGAAAACUCAAUAGCACCAAACACUUGGUACUAUCGAUAGUAUCCGAGCAGGACUCUCUCUCUCUCUCUCUCUCUAUAUAUAUAUAUAAGAAACUCUUCAUCAAUAUGCAAUGGUUUGAAAUUGUCAAUAGGACUCAUUUAUUAUGGUUUAGAAUGAUUAGAAUUAUCAAGAAUAUUUCAAAUCAAACGGCUCAAAAUUCUGGGUAGAGAUUAAUCUAGAAGACUCUAAACCCAUUCAAAUUAAGUAAUCAAAUAAAAAGACCCAAGAUACCACUUCAAUUCAUGGAAAAGAACCAUUAAAUUUUGUUUUGUUAAAAUUUUAAGUUGUAAAAACAUAAAAUUAAGUUGUGACAUUAAAAUUUGAAAUGUUUGGACACAUGUUUCCAAAUGAUAAGCUUAAUUACAAUCACUGUAAAAUAUUAAAAGCAUUGCUAUGAUAAUCAUAAUCUAUUAUAUAUUAUUAUGAGCUGCUGAUAUAUUGAUAUCUGAUAAUUAAUGUUAUUAUGUAAACUAUUGAAUGACAGGUGUAAAUGUGUAAUAUGAUGAACUUGCAGGUUUUAUAGCAGUAAAAAAUUAUUAUUCUAAGUGAUAAUAUAUUUUAAUAAAAAUAAAAAUUUUUAUCUAUGACUUUUCUACUUUGGAUCACCAUAAUUAUAUCAAAAGUUAUAAUUUUUAGUUACUUUUCUCUUCUUUCCAAUUUUAUCCCUACUUUGGAUCAGAAUACCAAAUUAUUAUCUAUUAAAUAUUACCAUUCAUUAUACGAUACGGUAUCGACCCCAAAGAAUGUAGUGAAGCGCCUCAAAAUUUUAAAACCCUCGCUCACAAUGUCGACCCCUCCCACCACCUCCUCGUCCUCGUCCUCGUCCUCGUCCUCUUCCUCUCCUCCUCCUCCUCCUCACCUCGGCCAUGGCGACGCGGCGCUCGACGUGUUCUGGGACGAGGGCAUGCUCGGGCACGACGCGGGCGCGGGGGUCUUCGACACGGGCGCCGACCCGGGCUUCCUCGACGUCCUCGACCGCCACCCGGAGAACGCCGAUCGCGUGCGCAACAUGCUCUCCGUCCUCCGCCGCGGCCCCAUCGCCCCCCUCCUCUCAUGGCGCCCCGGCCGCCCCGCCGCCGUCUCCGAGCUCCUCUCCUUCCACACUCCAGGUCGCUUACUUGAAUUCAUUUCCCUUUAGGGCAUGUUUGGUUCGUGAUUGAAAUGGGGAUGAGAAAUGAAAUUGGAUUGUGUUGGAAUGGAAAAUGGAACGACGAAUCAUCAAAAAAAUUGUUUUUUGUUUGGUUCAUUAUUAGAAUGUAAAUCGGAAUGAAUAUCUAGAAUUUUGAGAGUGUUUUGAUUAAGAGAGAGGGGAGUGAGGAAAGGGAGAGGAGUGGAAGGUGUUUCGGUGGUUUACUUUGGAAUGAGCCAAUCCGGAAUUCAAGGUUGGAUUGGGCCAUAAAUGAAUUGUGCUAGUGGAAUGGGAAUGAGAAUCCGAUUACUGUAAAACAAACAACAACUAUUGGAAUCAAUGAAUUUCAUUUUGAUUUCAUUGUCUAAAAUAGAUGAACCGAACAAGCCCUUAAUUCAGAGGAAUUAAUCUCAAUUUGUUUGGAAAUGAGUUUUGGCCAUGUUUGGAUGCUAGAAUAAGAUAUCAGAUUAUAAUUUAUUCAGUACGAAGAUUUUUCUGUGUGAUUGGAAGUUAGGAGUUUAAUUUUCGAUGCUCGAAAGGUAUUGUCAUCCAUGAUUUGGUAGAAUACAUCUUUCACCUACGAGUUGAUUUAUCUUAUUCCAAAAAAAUGAUUUGUAGGGUAAAUAUGAUUCCCAUUUUGGACACCUGACCACGCGCCUCAUCUACCAAAAAUUAUAUUCAUCUUGUGUAAAUCGAAGAAAUAUACCGAAUAAGAUUUCAUGCAUUCGAGCAGAGCCUUUUAAGCCUCUCAUUUUUUACAAUUUGUUUUAUUUCACUUAGUAAGUAUGAGUUUCAAUUUAUUCACAAGUUAAUUUUGGCCUCAUUUGCAUGUCAGAAUAAGUUAUCCUGUGAUAGCUUAUACUCUAUGAAGAUUUUUUGUGUGAUCACAAGUUAGGAGCUUGAUUUUAGCUCAUUAGAGGGUCUUGACAUCCAUAAUUUGGUAGAAUAGUGAAUUUCACCUACAAAACGAUUUGUCUUAUUUUUUAAAAAAAGAUUUGAAGGCUGAAUAAGAUAUACCUUUCUAGACAUUUGAUUGAUCUCUUCAUUUACCAAAAUGCUACAAGCUUCUCAAGUAAAUAAAAGAGAUAAGUGGAACAAGAUAUUGUUUGUCUAAAACUAUACCUUUGUUUGUCUAAAAACACAAUGGAACGAAAAUGAAUUCCAUCCAAAACUAGGCCUUUGUUUGUCUAAAAACACAAUGGAAUGAAAAUGAAUUCCACUUUCUAAUGAUGUUUGGAAAGACUAACGAAUUCAUUUCAAUGUUGUCGUUCUUGCUUCUUUUUUUUUUCUUUUCCUGUUUCAACCUUGGAUAAAUAAUAAGAAAGUUAAAACUUUGAAAACUAAAUAUGUUCAAACUAUUUCGUCAACCAUAGUAUUCGACCCCGUGUAUUAUAAAAGUUAUUGUCUUUAUCUACAACUGCUUGAACGAAGAGAUAUCUAAGACAACUAAUAUCAAUGCUUGAAUGAAGAGAUGUAUAAGACGACUAUGUUCCCCUAAUAAUAAACAUCUAUGUUGAACUGAAUAGGAUUUGAGAAUUGGGUUGUAUUUUUGGGGCAAAUAUAUACAUACAUAUCCUCGCAAAGUUUAGAAAUCACACAUUUGUCCUGUAAAGUUUUAAUUCUUGAACGUCUUCGUAUUGCUUUAAAUUUUCAAAAUUUGCAAAUCUGUCCCUGUCAAAUUUGGCUACCAUCAGUUGAUUGCUAAUUUUUCACUGUUAGGAAGGUUAGCCCUUUUGACAAGCUUAUUCUUGUCACAAUUUUUGAGAGAGGAUUUAGGGUUUAUGUUGGAUAGCUUGAGAGAUAGAGCAGGACAUUACAAAUUAAAAAAAAAUGACAUUAGAAGAGCAUUUAAAAGGAGAUCUAUUUUCAACAGUUGAAUGGUCAUUUUAUAGGAAAAGGUCAACUUUAACUGGACAACCAUUAGAGAGAGAAUAAUUGCAAAUCCAAAAAUUCAGAGGGAGAUAUAUGGUUAUUAAAACUUUUGAUGGACAUGCAAUUUUCCCUUUCCUUUUUUGUUUGUCGAAAUCGAAAUAUCGAAUAGUACGACUGUCAUUUGUUAUUCAAGAGUGUUGUUAGUUUGUGAAUCAUUUGCGCCUAGAAGAGUAUAUCUUUGAUGGUUUUGCAAACAAAGUUGUGAAAUAAACUUGUAAUUCAAUAUUUAAUGUAUCAUGAACUAGCUUAUCAAGUUUAGUGACUGCUACAAAUGUCCCAAAAUGAAUGUAAAGUGUAGAACAGGAAUCAAAUAAGCUAGCAGCAACACUUACUUUUGUUUAAUUGAAGGCUAUGGUGCUCGAUAUUAAGGAUCGAUUAUGGUGAUCUUCUUGUAUUCUGUUUAAUCGAAGAGUGCACUGCUUAAUUUUAAUGAUAAGUUUUGGGGAUCCAUUUGUUUAGUGCUGUCACACCCGCUAUACUUGUUAGUAAGCAGUAAAUUGGGCGUAAGUAUUAUGGGCAUGUUGCUAGGCAGGCUUCUGUAAAAUUUCUACCCAACAGGCUCAUAUAUUAAAAAAAAAUGAUAUCAAAGCUAUUCCCGAGGUAAUUAUAGGAUUUGAAUAAUGUUAUUAGAGCCCCUCCAGAAUGUGGACUUGAUUGAUCAACCCUAUCCUGCAUCGGAAAAAAUUCGGGAAAUGAACUGGCAUAUAUGUAGAACCAUGUUCUAGUGCGAGUAGCUAGUCUUAAUCCCUUGAGCAUUUUCUGACCUUUUGGCUUUGUGUGUAUUAGUUUCUUUUAGUUGGAAAUCUAUAGAAAAUGAUGCAAAUGCUUAUUGUCAAGGUGCCAAAUAUAUUAGGUUACUAGAAAGAAAGCACAAACACUAUUUGCACCGUGAGUCUAUCAACAUGUUGAAUGAUAGCGACUAGACAAUUCUCUCUCAUUGUCAUUGAUGCUAGAAUUUACAUCUUAUUCAUUUAAGUGAAUGGUGCUAGAAUUUACAUCUCAUUCAUUUAAGUGAAUGGUGCUAGAAUUUGCAUCUCAUUCAUUUAAGUGAAUGGAACUAGUCGUUCUACUUGAGGGGAAAGAAAGCUGAACUCCAUAUACAUCUAGAAGCUUUGUCCAUCCAACUAAUUAGUCUUAAAUUCAAUAUGCUUGGUUUGCUACGAAUGUGCCAUCGUCAUAACGAUAUCGCAAGAAUACGAGCAAUAUUCCUAUUAGUUCAUUAGAAAAGUGUGAUUUUAACUUAAUUUGAAUCAAUGUUUGCUUUUACUUUCUCUACGUUGCAAGAAUAUUCAAAUAAUUUUUCUUUUCAACAGGAGGGUCCCCUUUGCUCUGUCAUAGUUGUUGAUCUGCUUAUACAAAAUGGAAUCAUCUAAUUGCCUCGUUUACAAUUUUUUUUGUAUCUCUAUUUUUUAACAUCUAAGUACUCUAAUUAAGCGCGACUGUUGGCACCUACUAAUUUAUCAGAAUACAUAGAGGAAUUGGUACAAGCCAAUGCAGCUGGAAGCAAGGAACUCUGUGCUGGAACUUUUAUGAACCCUGGCUCGUGGGGUGCUGCCCUUAUAUCAGCUGGAACAACACUAUCCGCGAUGAAGCAUAUAUUAGAUGGCCGUGGAAAGCUAGCUUAUGCAUUAGUCCGCCCGCCAGGUCAUCAUGCUCAGCCUAGUCAAGCUGAUGGCUAUUGCUUUCUCAACAAUGCUGGCUUGGCCAUACAGCUUGCCCUAGAUUCUGGUUGCAGAAAAGUUGCAGUUCUUGACAUCGAUGUCCACUAUGGUAAUGGAACGGCAGAAGGGUUUUACCGCUCAGACAAUGUGCUCACAAUCUCAAUCCAUAUGAACCAUGGUUCCUGGGGCCCUUCGCAUCCUCAGAGUGGUUCGAUUGACGAAGUCGGUGAAGGAAAUGGGUUUGGGUACAAUUUGAAUAUACCUUUGCCCAAUGGAAGUGGGGAUGAAGGGUACUCAUAUACGAUGAAUGAACUGGUCCUUCCCGCUAUUGACAAAUUUGGACCCGAGCUUAUUGUUUUUGUUAUCGGCCAAGAUUCUAGCGCGGUAAGUUGAAUUUUAUUGCUUUUUGAGUGCAAGCUUUUUUUCACAUCAUGCAAGAUUUAUAUUCUGUUCAAAUAGUUAAGGUAAUAGAGAACAUUUUUUCUUCUAUUUUACAUGACUAAAUUGCAGGUCUUUUUAAUGUUGCCAACCUCCUAAAUAUAGAAAUUUCAUCGUCUUGCAUUUAAUACAUUUUGCAUCGUACUGAAAGAAACAGUAGAUUUGCCAUGUUGUAAGUUGAGAAAAUAGAACAUCUAGCAAAAUUGAAUUUAUAUUCUGAUUUCUGAAUGCUACAUCUGCACUAACUUUGUUGGAUUUGGAAGUAGUAGAGUGAAACUAUGCCAAUUAGCUUUGCCUAUCAGUGUGUUACUAAACUAAAGUUUCUGAAGGACAUAUAUGCAAAACAAUGAUCUUCAGGGGUUUAUAUAUAGAAUAUCUCUAACAUGUAACCUAUUUUUCAGUUUGAUCCAAAUGGAAGGCAGUGCUUAACCAUGGACGGCUACAAGGAGAUCGGAAGAACAGUACGGAAAAUGGCCGAUAAGCAUGCCCACGGACGGCUCCUGAUCGUCCAGGAAGGGGGCUAUCACUUGACAUACUCGGCAUAUUGCCUCCACGCAACCCUAGAAGGUGUUCUCAAUCUCUCAACUCCACUUUUAGCCGACCCUAUCGCCUACUAUCCCGAAGAUAAGGCAUUCACUGUCAAAGUCGUCGACGCCAUAAAGCGGUACUGGAUAGAAUCUAUUCCUUUCUUGAAAGAGCUUUAGAAAAAGUUGUACAUCUUCUCAUAUUCUCACUAGCUGGUGGGCUUGUUGUAAAAUUAUGUAUGCGCAUAGUUGUAGUGAUAAUAAUUAUAUUAAAUUGUUUACUUCUUAGUGCCUUGUACCUUUUAAAGUUGUAACUUUGUUCUUGUGCAAUAUUUUUGAUUAAUGCCCAAGUUUAGGGCUUUUGCAAUGAACUAUGAAUACAUAUGCUAUAAUACUAUCAUUAGCAGAUAGGUUUUGUUGCUACAGAUUUAUUUUUGAAGAUGAAGCCUUCGCAUAGACCACUUGAAAUAUUUAAAAAUCAAAAUUUAUAUAUUUUUUUAUAUUACUUUUUUGUGCAUCAAGUGGGCACAAAAAUGAACGGCUGAAAAUAAUUGCUGUUCAAAAAGUGAUGAUAGGAUUAUUGUGAUUAAGAUUAAGAGUGUAGAUUUUAUUUUAAACAAUUUAAAGAAUUUUCUAAUGAAAAUUCAACUGGUUUGAAUUCUUUUUAUGCCGUUAAACGAGCAAAUGUCUUGUAUUAAUCAUUAAAAUUAUAAAAUUUGCAAUCUUUUAAUUAUUAGGUAAGUGAUGUCAAAAAAAUAUAUAUAAUUUGAUUUCUAUAUCCUUUAAAAAGUGGUUUAAAUUAUGUUCAACAGUAUCGAUCUCUUAUUUCAAAGCCCUAUCAUAAAAAAUAAAUAGAUAGCAAUAGAGUCUGUUUGUUACUGGCGAAUAAAUAGAUAGCAAUAGAGUCUGUUUGUUACUGACGGUAUUCUAACGCAUCUCUCUCUAUAUAUUUUUUUUCUGCAAUACUCUUGUUUCUGAAAA